Paramisgurnus dabryanus is the source of this 739-nucleotide non-coding RNA. The record is from RefSeq and is a predicted model, not a curated record. Lineage: Eukaryota; Metazoa; Chordata; Actinopteri; Cypriniformes; Cobitidae.
GAGUCUUUUUGCUGGUGAGAGAUGAGUGCUGCAUAAUAACAGCCCAGUACACCGUUGCUAAGGAGUUCCGGUUGCUACGAGAGAGGGAGAAAGAGAUGCUGAGGUGAUCUGGGUAUCACUGGACCUAAGUGGACAUUCCUUGACAUCUGUGCUGAGAUGGCGGUCCAUACACACCGUCUUAUUACACAUCCGGAGAGUCAUUUGUGAUGCUCGGGGGGAUGAUGAAAGUCACGGGCACGCUGAACUGGAGUGUUUGUACCAUCGGAUGCCCGCAGAGAAAAGACAAACCAGCAGGACCAAAAAAGCUGUGAGACGCACCUCCUUCCAGAGCAACCUGACCUCUCAAGGCAGAUGGUUCAUUACGGUUAUACACCGGAGAUUGACGCUGGCAGUAGCAGAAGACGGAGGAGGCUCUGAAAUGGAUUAACGGCCUGUCAAUAAGGAAACGUUAUUCAUUUAUAUAAAGGAAAAGGUAGACAGAGAUGCAUGGGGACAGUAAGUAGCCAUCAGUGGACACGAAUCUGGGUCACAAGACACAAAAGAGGGACAAUAUGUAUGUGACCCUGGACCACAAAUCCAGUCAUAAGUAGCACAGUUUUGUAGCAAUAGCCAACAAUUCAAUGUAUGGGUCAAAAUUAUGUAAUGCUAAAAAUUAUUACGAUAUAAAAUAAAGAUCAUGUUCCAUGAAGAAAUUUAGCAAAUUUCCUAGUUUAAAUAUUUAAAAAAUGUAUUUAUCAUU